GAUGAACGCUGGCGGCGUGCCUAAUACAUGCAAGUCGAGCGAACAGAUGAGGAGCUUGCUCCUCUGACGUUAGCGGCGGACGGGUGAGUAACACGUGGAUAACCUACCUAUAAGACUGGGAUAACUUCGGGAAACCGGAGCUAAUACCGGAUAAUAUAUUGAACCGCAUGGUUCAAUAGUGAAAGACGGUUUUGCUGUCACUUAUAGAUGGAUCCGCGCCGCAUUAGCUAGUUGGUAAGGUAACGGCUUACCAAGGCAACGAUGCGUAGCCGACCUGAGAGGGUAAUCGGCCACACGGAAACUGAGAAACGGUCCAGAUUCCUACGGGAGGAAGCAGUAGGGAAUUUUCCGAAAUGGGCGAAAGCCUGACGGAGCAACGCCGCGUGAGUGAUAAAGGUCUUCGGAUCGUAAAACUCUGUUAUUAGGAAAGAAAAAAUGUGUAAGUAACAAUGAACGUCUUGACGGUACCAAACCAGAAAACAACGGCUAACUACGU
This 496-nucleotide ribosomal RNA is filed under the name uncultured bacterium. RNAcentral describes it as "partial 16S ribosomal RNA". It matches the Rfam family "Bacterial small subunit ribosomal RNA", at positions 28 to 506 of the family's 1533-position model. The record is from RNAcentral.